CCUGGCUUCCUGCUUUACCAACCACUUUAACAAAUUGGGAACAUAGCUAAAGAGCUAAGAUUGAAAUGCCACAAGUUACUCGGUUGUAGAGAGGAAUUAUUGAGAAGCUUGCAACUCCUGGAAAAAUUGACAAGACAAGGCUAUCGGUAAUAUAGCAAAUGAACGGGGCAACCAGAUAGGCUGCAGAGUGCUGGAGAAGUGUUUACUGGAAAGUAACAUGAAUUCACCUCUUCUGGCCACUUCACAAU
Molecule: long non-coding RNA, 248 nt
Organism: Lacerta agilis (Sand lizard)
Lineage: Eukaryota; Metazoa; Chordata; Lepidosauria; Squamata; Lacertidae
Exons: 3
Source: RefSeq, a predicted model, not a curated record